This 402-nucleotide ribosomal RNA is filed under the name Lobosphaera incisa. Its description in RNAcentral is "partial small subunit ribosomal RNA". It matches the Rfam family "Eukaryotic small subunit ribosomal RNA", at positions 30 to 432 of the family's 1831-position model. Lineage: Eukaryota; Viridiplantae; Chlorophyta; Trebouxiophyceae; Trebouxiales; Trebouxiaceae. The record is from RNAcentral.
GCUUGUCUCAAAGAUUAAGCCAUGCAUGUCUAAGUAUAAGCAAACUUGUACUGUGAAACUGCGAAUGGCUCAUUAUAUCAGUUAUAGUCUACUCGAUAGUACCUUACUACUUGGAUAACCGUAGUAAUUCUAGAGCUAAUACGUGCGUAAAUCCCGACUUCUGGAAGGGACGUAUUUAUUAGAUAAAAGGCCGACCGGGCUCUGCCCGACUCGCGGUGAAUCAUGAUAACUUCACGAAUCGCACGGCCUCGUGCCGGCGAUGUUUCAUUCAAAUUUCUGCCCUAUCAACUUUUGAUGGUAGGAUAGAGGCCUACCAUGGUGGUAACGGGUGACGGAGGAUUAGGGUUCGAUUCCGGAGAGGGAGCCUGAGAAACGGCUACCACAUCCAAGGAAGGCAGCAGG